CCGGCCCUCUAGCUGGGCUCAGAGGCUCUCCUAGACCCAGGUCUCGAGGCAAUCAGAAGUGACAGGCGAGAAGGACUCUACCAUAGUAGGGAAGACGUGAGACAUGACAGACUUCCCUCCAACUCAACGUAAAGUCAGAGACGGAAUUGGGGACCCUGCAGCUGAACACUCGAGGAGGCCCAGGGGCUGAUGCUUGCUCUAGAUGUGUGACACCUGUGCAGAAGCCCUUCCCAGAGAGGUAAGUCUUCAGGGAAGGAUGUCUCUCCACCCCUCGGACAGUGUGGACCUCAGUGACUGCGUCUGCCCCAGAGGAGUUACAAUGUACGGUCACAGAGCUGUUUCCUGGCUCACGAAGAAAAUCCAGGAAUGUGCAGGGGCCUUUGCAGCUUUGUCCAGGAUGUCCACGCUAGGAAGGCCUGGGCUGACCUAUCUGUAGGUGGGCAUCUUUCUAGAAGUGAGGGAUCCGGGCUCAGGCCGCUUCUUCCUUGGCUAGAGCCUACACGCUGGGAGACUGGCUGCAGUCACACUUCCGCUCAAUGGAGAGUCCGCAGACAGCGUGAGGCCAACACACAGCAGGCCAGGAGCACUGCAAGUUGAGGCCGGUCCUGGGCUGCCUCUAAGAUCUGUGUUCUUGUCUUGGACUCUGUGAUUCAUCUACGUAUUCUUAUUACAAAUUCUUGUUUGCUUAGGCUAGCUCCAGUGGGUUUCUAUGACUUCCAUCUAUCUAUACAUAAAAAAACCCCAACACAUUAGUAAAAUUCCUUUGAAAAAUUCCAGCCCUGUCUUGCCUGAACUAAGAAGAAAAACAAAACAUUCAACAAAAGCCAGAAACGUGAGCCAAAUGUGGCAGAGGCCAUUCAGCCACUGCUGGAGAACUCUGGGUUGA
Molecule: non-coding RNA, 886 nt
Organism: Peromyscus maniculatus bairdii (prairie deer mouse)
Lineage: Eukaryota; Metazoa; Chordata; Mammalia; Rodentia; Cricetidae
Source: RefSeq, a predicted model, not a curated record